GUCCACGGCCAUGCUACCCUGAACAAGUCCGAUCCCAUCUGAUCUUGGAAGCUAAGCAGGGUCGGGCCUGGUUAGUACUUGGAUGGGAGACCACCUAGGAAGACCGGGUGCUGUAGGCA
RNAcentral lists this ribosomal RNA (119 nucleotides) under Pteropus alecto (black flying fox). The record is from RNAcentral. Lineage: Eukaryota; Metazoa; Chordata; Mammalia; Chiroptera; Pteropodidae.